UACGAAGGGAGCUAGCGUUGUUCGGAAUCACUGGGCGGAAAGCGCACGUAGGCGGAUGUGUCAGUCAGGGGUGAAAUCCCGGAGCUCAACUUCGGAACUGCCCUUGAUACAGCACGUCUUGAGUCCGGAAGAGGUGGGUGGAAUUCCUAGUGUAGAGGUGAAAUUCGUAGAUAUUAGGAAGAACACCGGUGGCGAAGGCGGCCCACUGGUCCGGUACUGACGCUGAGGUGCGAAAGCGUGGGGAGCAAACAGG
Molecule: ribosomal RNA, 253 nt
Filed under: uncultured bacterium
Lineage: Bacteria
Description: partial 16S ribosomal RNA
Rfam family: Bacterial small subunit ribosomal RNA
Source: RNAcentral